This 1362-nucleotide ribosomal RNA is filed under the name uncultured bacterium. Its description in RNAcentral is "bacterial SSU rRNA". It matches the Rfam family "Bacterial small subunit ribosomal RNA", at positions 28 to 1381 of the family's 1533-position model. The record is from RNAcentral.
GACGAACGCUGGCGGCGUGCUUAACACAUGCAAGUCGAACGGAAAGGCCCCCACCUUGGUGGGGGUGCUCGAGUGGCGAACGGGUGAGUAACACGUGGGUGAUCUGCCCUGUACUUCGGGAUAAGCUUGGGAAACUGGGUCUAAUACCGGAUAGGACCAUGGUUUAGUGUCUCAUGGUGGAAAGAUUAUUGUUUUGGUGCAGGAUGAGCUCGCGGCCUAUCAGCUUGUUGGUGGGGUAAUGGCCUACCAAGGCGUCGACGGGUAGCCGGCCUGAGAGGGUGGACGGCCACAUUGGGACUGAGAUACGGCCCAGACUCCUACGGGAGGCAGCAGUGGGGAAUAUUGCACAAUGGGCGCAAGCCUGAUGCAGCGACGCCGCGUGGGGGAUGACGGCCUUCGGGUUGUAAACUCCUUUCGUUAGGGACGAAGCCACAUUUUUUGGGUGUGGUGACGGUACCUUUGUUAAGAAGCACCGGCUAACUACGUGCCAGCAGCCGCGGUAAUACGUAGGGUGCGAGCGUUGUCCGGAAUUACUGGGCGUAAAGAGCUCGUAGGUGGUUUGUUGCGUCGUCUGUGAAAUUCCGGGGCUUAACUUCGGGGUGGCAGGCGAUACGGGCAUAACUAGAGUGCUGUAGGGGAGACUGGAAUUCCUGGUGUAGCGGUGGAAUGCGCAGAUAUCAGGAGGAACACCGAUGGCGAAGGCAGGUCUCUGGGCAGUAACUGACGCUGAGGAGCGAAAGCAUGGGGAGCGAACAGGAUUAGAUACCCUGGUAGUCCAUGCUGUAAACGGUGGGCGUUAGGUGUGGGGACCGGUUUGGUUUCUGUGCCGUAGCUAACGCAUUAAGCGCCCCGCCUGGGGAGUACGGCCGCAAGGCUAAAACUCAAAGGAAUUGACGGGGGCCCGCACAAGCGGCGGAGCAUGUGGAUUAAUUCGAUGCAACGCGAAGAACCUUACCUGGGUUUGACAUGCACCAGACGGUUGUAGAGAUACGUACCUCCCUUUGUGGUUGGUGUGCAGGUGGUGCAUGGUUGUCGUCAGCUCGUGUCGUGAGAUGUUGGGUUAAGUCCCGCAACGAGCGCAACCCUUGUCUUAUGUUGCCAGCACUUUGGGUGGGGACUCAUGAGAGACUGCCGGGGUUAACUCGGAGGAAGGUGGGGAUGACGUCAAAUCAUCAUGCCCUUUAUGCCCAGGGCUUCACACAUGCUACAAUGGUUAGUACAACGCGCUGCGAACCUGUGAGGGUGAGCGAAUCGCUGAAAGCUAAUCUCAGUUCGGAUUGGGGUCUGCAACUCGACCCCAUGAAGUCGGAGUCGCUAGUAAUCGCAGAUCAGCAAUGCUGCGGUGAAUACGUUCCCGGGCCU